UACGAACUGUGCGAACGUUAUUCGGAAUCACUGGGCUUAAAGGGUGCGUAGGCGGUUUGUUAAGUCAGGUGUGAAAUCUCCCGGCUCAACCGGGAAACAGCGCUUGAAACUAGCAGACUGGAGUGAGGUAAGGGUGUGCGGAACUUCCAGUGGAGCGGUGAAAUGUGUAGAUAUUGGAAGGAACGCCGGUGGCGAAAGCGGCACACUGGGCCUUGUCUGACGCUGAGGCACGAAAGCCAGGGGAGUGAACGGG
This 253-nucleotide ribosomal RNA is filed under the name uncultured bacterium. RNAcentral's name for it is "partial 16S ribosomal RNA". It matches the Rfam family "Bacterial small subunit ribosomal RNA", at positions 524 to 776 of the family's 1533-position model. The record is from RNAcentral.